Long non-coding RNA from Numida meleagris (helmeted guineafowl), 2627 nucleotides. RefSeq lists it as uncharacterized. The record is from RefSeq and is a predicted model, not a curated record. NCBI's taxonomy places the organism in Eukaryota, Metazoa, Chordata, Aves, Galliformes, Numididae. The transcript is spliced from 4 exons.
GAAGGAUUUGGUGGCAGUUACUGAAGUUGAUGAAUCUGACUGAAAUUUCUUUGCUGGGUUGUGUGUUACAGGGGUUGCUUGAGGAGGUAUUAAUAACUUCCUGAUGAAUCCUGUCUUCAAAAGUUUUGCAAACUGCUACAGGCCAAUAGUUUAAAGAGCACUGAACAAAUCUGGCCAACUUCAAGGUAUGUUCUUCUUGUGCAAUACCUAUUGACUCACUUAGGAUAUCUAACAACUUAUGGUUGGACCUGGAUACUUGGUAGCAGGAUCCAGAGUUUCACUGAUGCUUAACAGAGAAAGGAGUCUGGAAGAAACUGAAAACAUUUCCAUCAGUCUACUGGGAUCUGGAAUUGGUUUCCCUGCUCUGGAUAGGAGUCUUCCAGAAUGGUAAUCAAAUUAUGAAGAAUUACUUAUAACAUUAGAAGAAAACAGCAAAUUUUGACAAGAGAGAGGAAUGGGACGGGAGCAUUCACUUGUUGAUUCGUCUGAUUGGUUCACUUUUUGAAACACUAAUGUGGACUUGGAACUGACCUUUCAUUUGAAAAAUGAGCAAUACCAGAAGUUAUGAAAUGCAAAGAAAAUAUACAACAAGAGGAGAAAACAGGGAGUCUUGGAACAGUAAUCUAAGGGAGUCGUUUUUCUGUCCUUGCUAACAGGAAUAGUACAAAGAUGGAAUUCACCAAGGAACAUAAAGGGAAAAAAAUCUCUUGGAAAUCUUUGCAUUAAAAUCUCAUCUACCACCAGCCCUUUUUUAUGGAAAUAAGUCAGCACUACUGGAAAAGAAAAUGCUAAACCUGUGCUCUUCGAUUCAUCUUCAUUUCUGCUGUUUACCUAAGAAAACAGCAACUCUGUCCGGUUUGGGAGAGAAAAAAAAAAUGUAUUUUUUUCCCCCAUUGAUUGUUCUUUUAAUGUUUUUUUAGUCAAUGUGGAAUUUUACCUAACUUGCAUCAUUUUUCAGGAGCUGAUUCAAAACAGAUUUCCUAAAAAGAAUAUGCAAUUACAGUGCUAAACUAAGUGCCAGAAAAUGGAAACAAUCCGUUUUGAGAACUCCAUUGUGUCUCCGGGAUUUAGAUGCAGUUGAAAAUGUCAUCAAUUUUUACAUGUAAGAAGGAAGAGACAAAAGAAACAAAGAUAAAGUGGGAAAAGUCUUUAGGGACAAUUCAGAACAAUAUGGAAGUAAUCAAAAGUCAGUCAACAGACCAAAUAAAUCUUCAUAGAAGGGAAGUACUGGCUAAAGUUAAAGCAGUAUAAGGAAGGUCGAACUAAGGUAGAUGUAGUCUGUUUACAUAAGAGACUAGGAGAUUACAAACAACAUAUGAGAUAAUUAGCAUUGGCAAAAUCUCAAAAGGUUUGGAGCUUUGUUUCAGUCAGAAUAAGCAUCAAUAAAUUUGUCUGCUUUACUAGACCUUCUCCAUGACUUCAGCUUUACAAAGAAAACAAGCAAAAUGCGCAAAAGAAUACAUGCAGAAAUCCUAGCACUUCUUUCAAAUGUCCCUUUCUCCACGCUGUUGACUGUUUGUCAGUACUUCCCAGAGGUACAUAAAAAUGUGUAAUAACCCUAAUUUUCUCUAAACACCUUGAUUCCCAAGUAGCAUUUGAGUUACAGAUAAUAGUUACUUUCAUGUCUCAUUCCUCUAGCAUAACUCAGUCCAUUUUUUAAAUCUCCAGAUAGAGAAACAAAUGUAUUGUUACCAAAGUAUGUAUGUAUUUAUAUAUAAAGAUAUGUAAUAUAUAAAAUUCUGAAGAAGUGCAGACAUGAAGUUGAAGAGAAAUAAAGCAUCCGGAUUAUAGUGCAAUGUUUUGUUUUGUUUUUUCCAAGACUGCAGUCUUGGAAAUGAAUGAAUAAUAACAAAAUUUCAAAUACUUGAUUGGUUGGCAGGUCAUGAAGAUGCAGGAAAUUUUUGUACACAUAACUGCAAAGGGGAAAAGAAAACAAGUUAGAUUAAAAGUCCUGCAUGUGAUUGAAUUACAGUUGACACAAGACAGACACACUUAAGACUCCAGCAUAACAUCCAUCCUGCUGAAUGAGGUGUUAGCUGAGUCAUAGGGUAAACCUACACAUCACUGUGCUCAGGAAUCCCAGCUACCCAGUCAUCCUCAUGUUACAUCUUCUGAGUGUAUGUCAAGAAUGCUAUGGGUUUUCCAUUGCAUGGAAAUUUGUUAUUUGCUGCUUGCAGUGACACAGCUGAAUUUGGUGCAGCAGCAGUCUAGCUUCCAGAGAUUAAAAGGAUCCAGAAGGAAUCUGAGAGUGUAAAGACUGUGUCCAAUAUCUUUCUGUUAGUGAAUGAGCUUGGAGAUGCCAAAGGGGUUUUAUCCACUCCUUCUUCCCCUUUAAUCCAUUCCAAACAUUUAUCUCCCCUCCCUUUCUAAGACAGAGACACAGGUCACUAAAUCUACUCCAGAUGUAGAUGUAUUUUUGUACUUUGAGCUGUCUCUGCAUUUUGCUGCCUGGAAUACUUAGUGUCUGCCUAUCUCAGGGACUGCUAUACUCCUAGAUAUCACUGGUGUUUCCCUUUGACCGUAUUUGACAACCCCUCUUACAUACUUACCAAAGCUUGAACCUGACUGUACUUGUCACUGCUCAAAACAAUCAAGGUGAUUUCUAAUAAAAGUAUAGAUAUGUAUGG